This 468-nucleotide ribosomal RNA is filed under the name uncultured bacterium. RNAcentral's name for it is "partial 16S ribosomal RNA". It matches the Rfam family "Bacterial small subunit ribosomal RNA", at positions 28 to 507 of the family's 1533-position model. The record is from RNAcentral.
GACGAACGCUGGCGGCGUGCUUAACACAUGCAAGUCGAACGGAAAGGCCCUGCUUUUGUGGGGUGCUCGAUAGGCGAACGGGUGAGUAACACGUGAGUAACCUGCCCUUGACUUUGGGAUAACUUCAGGAAACUGGGGCUAUUACCGGAUAGGAGCUCCUGCUGCAUGGUGGGGGUUGGAAAGUUUCGGCGGUGGGGGAUGGACUCGCGGCUUAUCAGCUUGUUGGUGGGGUAGUGGCUUACCAAGGGUUUGACGGGUAGCCGGCCUGAGAGGGUGAACGGCCACAUUGGGCCUGAGAUACGGCCCAGACUCCUACGGGAGGCAGCAGUGGAGAAUAUUGCACAAUGGGCCGAAGCCUGAUGCAGCAACGCCGCGUGCGGGAUGACGGCCUUCGGGUUGUAAACCGCUUUCGCCUGUGACGAGGCGUGAGUGACGGUACUGAGUCAAGAAGCACCGGCUAACUACGUG